RNAcentral lists this transfer RNA (73 nucleotides) under Araneus ventricosus. It matches the Rfam family "tRNA". From Rfam's summary of the family: Transfer RNA (tRNA) molecules are approximately 80 nucleotides in length. Lineage: Eukaryota; Metazoa; Arthropoda; Arachnida; Araneae; Araneidae. The record is from Rfam by way of RNAcentral.
GGUUCCGUAGUGUAGUGGUUAUCACAUUCGCUUUACACGCGAAAGGUCUCCGGUUCGAUCCCGGGCGGAACCA